GCAUCAAUGAGGGUGAGAGUCCUGUUUGUCAUGUGCAGCCUUCUGUGCACGGUGUAUAUUUGCUGAGUCACACUCCUUGGCAUUGGAAUGCAAAGUGGGUGGUAAGUUUCAUGCAAAGGUAAAUAUGCAAUUGAGACUGAUAGCGCACAAGUACCAUGAGGGACAUAUGAAAAGGACUUUGAAAAGAGAAUUAAAUGAGUUUGUAUUUGCUAAACACAAAGUAAACAGACUUGAUUUCCUCAGUGAGAUUGUAGUGCUUGCUUAACAAUGGGUUUUGGCUGCAAGUGCAAUAAUUCUUGCUUUGUGUGCCAGUUUUUAUGUGGACAUUUGAUUACCUUUGCACAUGAAUGGUAAUUUUCCUGCGGGGUGUGGAUUGCAUAUGCAUGUAAUGAUUUGCAUGUUUGUUAAAUGUGUCUGGUGUAUUUGUUUGUGUCCUUGUCCUUGAGGUUGCUUUCUCCCUUGGGCUUACAUGCCCUGGCACACACAUUCUGGCAAAAUGCUUCUGCUUGACCCGUCUUGAAACACGGACCAAGGAGUCUAACAGAUGUGCAAGUUUGAAGGUGGUAUACCUGUGUGUGUAAUGAAAGUAUUGGCUGGGAUAUUUGCACCAGCAGCCGACUAAUUAGCAGACAGAGGUUUGAGUUGGAGCAUAUCUAUUAGGACCCGAAAGAUGGUGAACUAUGCUUGAACAGAAAGAAUUCAGAGGAAACUCUGAUGGAGGUUCGUAUCGAUACUGACGUGCAAAUCGUUCGUCAUAUUUGGGUAUAGGGGCGAAAGACUAAUCGAACCAUCUAGUAGCUGGUUCCCUCCGAAGUUUCCCUCAGGAUAGCUGGAGUUGCACAGUUUUAUCAGGUAAAGCGAAUGAUUAGAGGAAUUGGGGACAGAUGUGUCCUUGACCUAUUCUCAAACUUUAAAUGGGUAAUAUGUAGUGGUUGCUUGAUGGAACUUCUAAAAUGAAUGGCAAUAUUAGGUGGGCCAUUUUUGGUAAGCAGAACUGGCGAUGAGGGAUGAACCUAAUGCUGGGUUAAGGGGCUU
Molecule: ribosomal RNA, 1035 nt
Filed under: Alexandrium pacificum
Lineage: Eukaryota; Dinophyceae; Gonyaulacales; Pyrocystaceae
Description: partial large subunit ribosomal RNA
Rfam family: Eukaryotic large subunit ribosomal RNA
Source: RNAcentral